GAUGAACGCUGACAGAAUGCUUAACACAUGCAAGUCAACUUGAAUUUGGGUUUUUUAACUUAGAUUUGGGUGGCGGACGGGUGAGUAACGCGUAAAGAACUUGCCUCACAGCUAGGGACAACAUUUGGAAACGAAUGCUAAUACCUGAUAUUAUGAUUAUAAGGCAUCUUAGAAUUAUGAAAGCUAUAUGCGCUGUGAGAGAGCUUUGCGUCCCAUUAGCUAGUUGGAGAGGUAACGGCUCACCAAGGCGAUGAUGGGUAGCCGGCCUGAGAGGGUGAACGGCCACAAGGGGACUGAGACACGGCCCUUACUCCUACGGGAGGCAACAGUGGGGAAUAUUGGACAAUGGACCAAGAGUCUGAUCCAGCAAUUCUGUGUGCACGAUGACGUUUUUCGGAAUGUAAAGUGCUUUCAGUUGGGAAGAAAAAAAUGACGGUACCAGCAGAAGAAGUGACGGCUAAAUACGUG
This 468-nucleotide ribosomal RNA is filed under the name uncultured bacterium. Its description in RNAcentral is "partial 16S ribosomal RNA". It matches the Rfam family "Bacterial small subunit ribosomal RNA", at positions 28 to 507 of the family's 1533-position model. The record is from RNAcentral.